GAACUGCGGGAGAAGAGGGUGUUACCGGGGUCGGAUUUGGAACGUGGGGCUGGGCUGGGCGGACGUGGGCAGGGAGAUACGACUAACACCGCAGAGAGAGUCCGAGGCGUGGCCGUGCCCUGGGCGGACCUCAGGUGGCCGCGACACGCCGGAACAGACACACGCGUUCUGUCCGCGUGGCGCUGGGGAUUUUCACCCACACCUGCUCCCCCGUGACGCCAUGCCUUUGUCACAGGCGGGGAAACCGAGACUGGAAGUGGGACCAAACUGUUCCCACUUGAGGACAAAAGGAAGCGAGAGGAGGGUGGCCGUCUUAUUGGCAUUGCUGUGACACGGUGACAGAAAUGGCGUGCGUCCCUCGCAAUUCAUUGUGGAUCCUGGGUCCGCCCAAGGGGUGUGUGUGUGUUCAGGUGCUUUGGAGGAGGCAGUCCAGGGUUUUUAUUAGAUUCUCAAAGGCCCCCGAGGGUAAGGACCCAUUUAUCAGGCCACUCCCACUCCUAUGGCCCCUGCUUUUUUGCCUGGGAGCCCAGACCCCGCCCCCCGUAUCAGUUCCGCCCCCACCUCCCAAACACCCCCCACCUGUGUGAGCCCUGCACUGCCUCCCAGUGGGAAAGGGACUCCCUUUCGUCUAGAAUACCUCCCUAGGGACGCAGCACCCCCCAGGGCAGGCGGCCAGCUGCUGGGGGACUUUGGGAAAGACAGGUGCUCCCACCUGACCCUACAUCUAGUCCUCUAAGCAGUCAUCGCUCCCACGGCCGGCCUGCCGCAGCCUCCGGUUUCCACCUUACCCGAACGGUGUCGUAGGCCAGAAAUCCUGACAUCGUCCCGGAGCCGUACUGGAGGUGGAUGGGCCGGCCCGAGAUCCGGAAGGUGGAGGACCGCAGAGGGUUGAAGACGUUGUGAUUAGCUGCAGACACAGGAGAGACGUCCAAAGAGACAGAGACGAAUAACAGAGACAUAGACAUGUGGAAAUGGAGAGAGAGCAGAGACCCAGAAACAAAUGCAGGAGAAAUGCUGUUCCUAGACAGAACCACGCGUGCGGUUGCACAGGUUGUGCACUGAGCAAUUCCAAGGAGCACCUUUUCACAUAGCUCGUAUGACUGGCACCCCUGGAGCGGUACAACCCUGCAGGCCUGCCCCAAGACACCCGGGGCCCCAAAGUGCACAUGUUCCCCCGAGGGUCCUGGAGGUACAUGCGCUGGGAGCCUCAUUUGGAGAGGAGAUUGCUACGGGGUCAAACGUCACAGUGAAGACACUGAGGGACAGCACACUGCAUACAAGUGACUUGAGGUGAUGGGAUGGCACAG
Molecule: long non-coding RNA, 1307 nt
Organism: Felis catus (domestic cat)
Lineage: Eukaryota; Metazoa; Chordata; Mammalia; Carnivora; Felidae
Exons: 3
Source: RefSeq, a predicted model, not a curated record